Molecule: ribosomal RNA, 260 nt
Filed under: uncultured Rhodoferax sp.
Lineage: Bacteria; Pseudomonadati; Pseudomonadota; Betaproteobacteria; Burkholderiales; Comamonadaceae
Description: partial 16S ribosomal RNA
Rfam family: Bacterial small subunit ribosomal RNA
Source: RNAcentral
UACAUUCAGUUGGGCACUCUAAUGAGACUGCCGGUGACAAGCCGAGGAAGGUGGGGAUGACGUCAAGUCCUCAUGGCCCUUAUAGGUGGGGGCUACACACGUCAUACAAUGGCUGGUACAAAGGGUUGCAACCCGCGAGGGGGAGCUAAUCCCAUAAAGCCAGUCGUAGUCCGGAUCGUAGUCUGCAACUCGACUACGUGAAGUCGGAAUCGCUAGUAAUCGUGGAUCAGAAUGUCACGGUGAAUACGUUCCCGGGUCUU